RNAcentral lists this unclassified non-coding RNA (253 nucleotides) under uncultured Enterobacteriaceae bacterium. RNAcentral's name for it is "contains 16S-23S intergenic spacer region". It matches the Rfam family "Bacterial small subunit ribosomal RNA", at positions 524 to 776 of the family's 1533-position model. Lineage: Bacteria; Pseudomonadati; Pseudomonadota; Gammaproteobacteria; Enterobacterales; Enterobacteriaceae. The record is from RNAcentral.
UACGGAGGGUGCAAGCGUUGUCCGGAAUUACUGGGCGUAAAGCGCACGCAGGCGGUCUGUCAAGUCGGAUGUGAAAUCCCCGGGCUCAACCUGGGAACUGCAUCCGAAACUGGCAGGCUAGAGUCUUGUAGAGGGGGGUAGAAUUCCAGGGGUAGCGGUGAAAUGCGUAGAGAUCUGGAGGAAUACCGGUGGCGAAGGCGGCCCCCUGGACAAAGACUGACACUACGGUGCGAAGGCGUGGGGAGCAAACAGG